UGGGGAAUAUUGCACAAUGGGCGCAAGCCUGAUGCAGCCAUGCCGCGUGUAUGAAGAAGGCCUUCGGGUUGUAAAGUACUUUCAGUCGGGAGGAAGGCGUUAAGGUUAAUAACCUUGGCGAUUGACGUUACCCGCAGAAGAAGCACCGGCUAACUCCGUGCCAGCAGCCGCGGUAAUACGGAGGGUGCAAGCGUUAAUCGGAAUUACUGGGCGUAAAGCGCACGCAGGCGGUUGAUUGAGUCAGAUGUGAAAUCCCCGGGCUUAACCCGGGAAUUGCAUCUGAUACUGGUCAGCUAGAGUCUUGUAGAGGGGGGUAGAAUUCCAUGUGUAGCGGUGAAAUGCGUAGAGAUGUGGAGGAAUACCGGUGGCGAAGGCGGCCCCCUGGACAAAGACUGACGCUCAGGUGCGAAAGCGUGGGGAGCAAACAGG
Molecule: ribosomal RNA, 429 nt
Filed under: Chloroflexota bacterium
Lineage: Bacteria; Bacillati; Chloroflexota
Description: Chloroflexi bacterium partial 16S ribosomal RNA
Rfam family: Bacterial small subunit ribosomal RNA
Source: RNAcentral